Molecule: long non-coding RNA, 1773 nt
Organism: Felis catus (domestic cat)
Lineage: Eukaryota; Metazoa; Chordata; Mammalia; Carnivora; Felidae
Exons: 7
Source: RefSeq, a predicted model, not a curated record
ACAGUGCGUUCUGGGCCUCUCCUUCAUCUCAAACUACCUGCCCCUCCCAUGCUUAGAGAAAAUCAUAGGCCUCAAAGCUCCAAUGAAUAGGAGAUUUGCGUGGGUCUUUCUAUACACGGCUCUCACCACUUUCUGGGAGAGAUACGUGGUUUUCACGCCCUUUGUGACGUAACCUGGUUAUGUCUCCUCCCGAGGUCUAAAACAAAGGUUCCUUUCCUCUGGGCUUAUCCCUUGCCGCUCUCCUGUUUUUCCUGAAUUGCUCUGGUAUUUCUGGCUUCUCCCCACAUUGAGUCAGACCCGAGUAUGGGUUGCAGAAAGCUUCUAACGUCGUCACUAAAUACUAAAGAAUAUAGAUUUUAAUCCACUUUCACAGUGAGUUUUGUAACAAUUAGAGCUUCCUAAAAAUGAAACACACUUACUUUCGAGCAACUUUCCUCUCAGUGAGGAUAUUCUGGUACAAUCUGCACGACCACUCAUCAGUUGAAGAAACCACAGCUGUGAGAGAACAUGGUCACGAGUGUUCAUGGACAACCCGUGUGCCACUCCAGGACCCAACAGGAAAGAGACAACAUGCUUGAAUGAGAUAAUGCCAGGAUGGUGUGUUUGUUUUACAAAAGGGUUACUUACAAAGAGGCUCUGCAUGGGGCUUCCCAUGAGCCAGAAUCAACCAGAAGCCAAGUCCACACUGCCUGCCUCCCAGGACAGAGAGCAGAACGGGGAAAGGUGGAGGGUGCCCCUGGAGCAGGAAAGGACCCCAGCUCAGCCCUCAGGCACACAAAACAGCCUGAGGGAGAUGCCCAACCCUCCCCCACCAGGAGAGACUCACAAGUCCUGAUGCAGAUAAUAAGAGAAUGCACCACUCACAGCUUGACUUCAAGGUGGCAAAGAAUCCAAAGGACUCUGAAAGGUUUAACAGCUGCAUACACCUGCUGUUCAUUGAGCUAAUGGACAUGAAAUCAGAGGUGAACCACCAGAGGCCUGUCUUUUGCUUUCUUUCCUGGAAGCUGGUUGGAACAUAGAAAAUUCAAGCCAAAAGUAAUCCUUUGUAAUCUGACACACCACUUGUGUUACUUAACUAUCGUUUUGAUUCUUUUCCUGACUAAAAUAAAAAACGAAACAAAACAAAAUAAACCCAACUUUAUGAAGGUAAGACUUUUGGUCUUUUUUGUUCAUGACUUUAUUCCCAGCAACUACAACAGUGUUUGAGGCAUAGCAGGUACUCAAGAAAUACUUGUUAAGUAAAUGAAUGAACGAAUGAACCAGUGAAUGGACUGUCAGAACACACACAGGUCUUCCAAUGAUAAAUAAUAAUUCUUGGAGGGAUGAUCAAUUUAAUAAAAGAGAGGGACAACUCCUCACUCAUGUAAUCUAAUGGGUACAGUCUUCCCACCUGAGUGUGGAUACACUCGUUCACACUCGUUUGCACAGCUGCCUUCCUUCCCCUGUCCUGGUUCUAUGUCCCGGAGCCUGAAGAUACAUAGACAACCAGUCCUGUUAGAAUACCUGUCCAACAGAAACUUUAUCCUCUACCACCUUCAUCUGCAGAAAGAACUGGUGCAAAUUCUUCAGUAGAGUGCUCUCUCCACCUGUCCCCAAAGCCUUUGUGAGCAGAAGGGCUGUAAGGUACGAAUUUAUUUUUAGCUUGCCCAGAGAAAGUGUUCAAGGUGUUGGGAGGGAAGGAGGGCUCUUCUAGAUGCAUAUCAUUUGGCUACAGCUCUGUUUAGAUCAUGUAUUUUAAAUUUUGUUUAUUUUACGUUUAUUUAUUUUUGAGAG